This 253-nucleotide ribosomal RNA is filed under the name uncultured bacterium. RNAcentral's name for it is "partial 16S ribosomal RNA". It matches the Rfam family "Bacterial small subunit ribosomal RNA", at positions 524 to 776 of the family's 1533-position model. The record is from RNAcentral.
UACAGAGGUCCCAAGCGUUGUUCGGAUUCACUGGGCGUAAAGGGUGCGUAGGUGGUGAGGUAAGUCGGAUGUGAAAGCUCGGAGCUCAACUCCGAAAUGGCAUUGGAAACUACCUUGCUAGAGGAUUGGAGGGGAGACUGGAAUGCUUGGUGUAGCAGUGAAAUGCGUAGAUAUCAAGCGGAACACCAGUGGCGAAGGCGAGUCUCUGGACAAUUCCUGACACUGAGGCACGAAAGCCAGGGGAGCAAACAGG